Molecule: small nuclear RNA, 120 nt
Filed under: Ancylostoma caninum (dog hookworm)
Lineage: Eukaryota; Metazoa; Nematoda; Chromadorea; Rhabditida; Ancylostomatidae
Description: U5 spliceosomal RNA
Source: RNAcentral
UAUCCCGCUCUUUCGAGGGGAUUCCAAGAAUUGUGAUACACUCAUAGAGUGCACCUUUGCACGGAAAUCUUUAGUAAAAGGCGAAAGAUUUUUUCGGUCUAUUGCAAAGGAGCCAGAGAU